AGUGAACGCUGGCGGUAGGCCUAACACAUGCAAGUCGAACGGCAGCACAGUAAGAGCUCGCCCCUACGGGUGGCGAGUGGCGGACGGGUGAGGAAUACAUCGGAAUCUAAUUUUUCGUGGGGGAUAACGUAGGGAAACUUAUGCUAAUACCGCAUACGACCUACGGGAGAAAGCAAGGGAUCUUCGGACUCUUCGCGUUAGAUUGAGCCGAUGUCGGAUUAGCUAGUUGGCAAGGUAAAGGCCCACCCAGGCGACGAUACGUAGCUGGACUGAGAGGAUGAUCGGCCACACUGGAACUGAGACACGGUCCAGACUCCUACGGGAGGCAGCAGUGGGGAAUAUUGGACAAUGGGCGCAAGCCUGAUCGAGCCAUACCGCGUGGGUGAAGAAGGCCUUCGGAUUGUAAAGCCCUGUUGUUGGGAAAGAAAAGCAGCGGGUUAAUAUCUCGCUAUUCUGACGGUACCCAAAGAGAAAGCACCGGCUAACUACGUG
Molecule: ribosomal RNA, 492 nt
Filed under: uncultured bacterium
Lineage: Bacteria
Description: partial 16S ribosomal RNA
Rfam family: Bacterial small subunit ribosomal RNA
Source: RNAcentral